UACGGAGGAUGCGAGCGUUAUCCGGAUUUAUUGGGUUUAAAGGGUGCGUAGGCGGGAUGCCAAGUCAGCGGUAAAAAUGCGGUGCCCAACGCCGUCGAGCCGUUGAAACUGGCGUUCUUGAGUGGGCGAGAAGUAUGCGGAAUGCGUGGUGUAGCGGUGAAAUGCAUAGAUAUCACGCAGAACUCCGAUCGCGAAGGCAGCAUACCGGCGCCCUACUGACGCUGAGGCACGAAAGCGUGGGGAGCAAACAGG
RNAcentral lists this ribosomal RNA (252 nucleotides) under uncultured bacterium. RNAcentral describes it as "partial 16S ribosomal RNA". It matches the Rfam family "Bacterial small subunit ribosomal RNA", at positions 524 to 776 of the family's 1533-position model. The record is from RNAcentral.